CAGCCGCGCGGUGAGCACAGAGCGAACUAUUCUUUCGCCUUUUACUAAAGAAUACCGUGUGCCCGCCGCAAUCGCCGGCAUACGCCAAUUUUUUCAAAGGGUUUCCUUCUCAAGGAUAU
This is a small nuclear RNA of Cucurbita moschata (crookneck pumpkin), 119 nucleotides long. RefSeq annotates it as U5 spliceosomal RNA. The record is from RefSeq and is a predicted model, not a curated record. Lineage: Eukaryota; Viridiplantae; Streptophyta; Magnoliopsida; Cucurbitales; Cucurbitaceae. The transcript has a single exon.